ACUUGAUCCUCUACAAUAACUUUAUCAUCAACCAUAGUCUUACAACAAAAUAAGCAGUGCACAUAUUGUGUCUUGGUUCUACUUAAUAUGAAACCAUUGGAUUCCACAGUACAUUUCAAAUGCUCUUAACUUCAGACUUCACCUUCUCCUCUCCCCAACUAAAACUACAUCAUCAAUGAAUUACAGACACCAAGGGACCUCAUCUUGGAUAGGUCUGUAGCUUGUCCAUGACUAGUCCAAAAAGGCUAGGUCUUGAGGCAGAAUCUUGAUGCAAGCUUAUAGUGACUAGGAAUUUCCAUUUACAUCUCAAGCAAUUUGGAAUUACCAUUAUGUCUCAAAGUCUCAUUUGCCCCAUCAUACACAUCUUUAAU
RNAcentral lists this long non-coding RNA (371 nucleotides) under Olea europaea subsp. europaea. Lineage: Eukaryota; Viridiplantae; Streptophyta; Magnoliopsida; Lamiales; Oleaceae. The record is from RNAcentral.